CUCCUCCCUCAGAGGCUCGAGGCUGGGAACCAGCGCCCAAGGCCGGCCACCUCCGCUUGUAGAGCGCGAUCCAGACGAAAUCCGACGAGCAGAGGCCGCGCCAGAACCUCGAACAGCUUCCCAACGAGCAAACAUCUGCGACCUCGAGAUAGGAUACGACGUUGAGGGCGACAUCCACGGGGAGGGAAUUCGAGCUCAGCUCCGAUCUCGAAUUCCCAGGAUUCGGCACCGGCGCUGCCUCCAUUCCGAUCUUUCCCUCGAGAUGAGAAUGCCCCCUCCUCAAGUGUGAUAGGGAAGGAAAUGGGAACAGGUCUCGUGCAAUGGUCUCGUUUAGGAUGACACGUUUCGUGGGCGUAUUCUUUUUUCUUUUUUUUUUUAAAGUACAACGGGGACUCACACAGGACAUGCAUGAGAACAUCCAGAAAGAUCACAAAAAAUUAGAUGAUAGAUGGCGGCAGGAGUGGACCAAUACCCUCCCAAAAAGAAGGAUACGAAUGGUGCGUAACACUGGAAGCCACCAAAUCAGCGGUACUAUUCUCUUUUCGAAAAACAUAAGUGGUCUGAAAGGAGGCCAGCUCUUUUAUGAGUCUACAAAUAUUUUGAAGCAGCGGAUACCAAUCGGCUGGCUAGGUUCGUUCUGAAUUUAGUCGAUCAUCGUGGUCGAAUCAUCUACAAGAUGAACAUAAUCCGCACCCAGACGCAGCUUAGCAUGGGUGAUUUCUUUCCAUGCACCUUACAGACCUACAA
Molecule: non-coding RNA, 747 nt
Organism: Phoenix dactylifera (date palm)
Lineage: Eukaryota; Viridiplantae; Streptophyta; Magnoliopsida; Arecales; Arecaceae
Source: RefSeq, a predicted model, not a curated record